AUGUGGUUUAAUUCGAAGCAACGCGAAGAACCUUACCAGGGCUUGACAUCCCGGUGACCGCUGUAGAGAUACAGCUUUCCUUCGGGACACCGGUGACAGGUGGUGCAUGGUUGUCGUCAGCUCGUGUCGUGAGAUGUUGGGUUAAGUCCCGCAACGAGCGCAACCCUUAUUGUUAGUUGCUACGCAAGAGCACUCUAACGAGACUGCCG
This 209-nucleotide ribosomal RNA is filed under the name uncultured Eubacteriales bacterium. Its description in RNAcentral is "uncultured Clostridiales bacterium partial 16S ribosomal RNA". It matches the Rfam family "Bacterial small subunit ribosomal RNA", at positions 939 to 1154 of the family's 1533-position model. Lineage: Bacteria; Bacillati; Bacillota; Clostridia; Eubacteriales. The record is from RNAcentral.